UUGCCCUAAGUAACGGGCGAGUGAAGCGGCAACAGCUCAAAUUUGAAAUCUGGCCCUCGGGUCCGAAUUGUAAUUUGUAGAGGAUGCUUUUGGUGAGGUACCUUCCGAGUUCCCUGGAACGGGACGCCAUAGAGGGUGAGAGCCCCGUCUGGUUGGAUACCGAUCCUCUGUAAAGCUCCUUCGACGAGUCGAGUAGUUUGGGAAUGCUGCUCUAAAUGGGAGGUAUAUGUCUUCUAAAGCUAAAUAUUGGCCAGAGACCGAUAGCGCACAAGUAGAGUGAUCGAAAGAUGAAAAGCACUUUGAAAAGAGAGUUAAAAAGUACGUGAAAUUGUUGAAAGGGAAGCGCUCAUGACCAGACUUGGGCUUGGUUGAUCAUCCAGGGUUCUCCCUGGUGCACUCUUCCAGCCCAGGCCAGCAUCAGUUCGCUGUGGGGGAUAAAGGCUUUGGGAAUGUGGCUCCUCCGGGAGUGUUAUAGCCCAUUGUGUAAUACCCUGUGGUGGACUGAGGUUCGCGCAUCUGCAAGGAUGCUGGCGUAAUGGUCAUCAGCGACCCGUCUUGAAACACGGACCAAGGAGUCGUCUUCGUAUGCGAGUGUUCGGGUGUUAAACCCCUACGCGUAAUGAAAGUGAACGCAGGUGAGAGCUUCGGCGCAUCAUCGACCGAUCCUGAUGUUCUCGGAUGGAUUUGAGUAAGAGCAUACGGGGCCGGACCCGAAAGAAGGUGAACUAUGCCUGUAUAGGGUGAAGCCAGAGRAAACUCUGGUGGAGGCUCGCAGCGGUUCUGACGUGCAAAUCGAUCGUCAAAUAUGGGCAUGGGG
Molecule: ribosomal RNA, 817 nt
Filed under: Ilyonectria crassa
Lineage: Eukaryota; Fungi; Ascomycota; Sordariomycetes; Hypocreales; Nectriaceae
Description: partial large subunit ribosomal RNA
Source: RNAcentral